Leopardus geoffroyi (Geoffroy's cat) is the source of this 848-nucleotide long non-coding RNA. RefSeq lists it as uncharacterized. The record is from RefSeq and is a predicted model, not a curated record. Lineage: Eukaryota; Metazoa; Chordata; Mammalia; Carnivora; Felidae. The transcript has 2 exons.
CCCAGCAGGGUGCGGUGUGAGCCACAAGCUCCCACAUUGGAGGAGGCGAGGAGGUGGAGAAGAACAGGAAAGAAAGAAUGGAACCCUCUUUCCCAUCUGAUCUGUGCCAAAGCCCAGCCAAUGAAAACCAGAAGUGCAAACCAGCUCCGACGGAGGAAGGGGGUCCUUAGCAGGCGUUCACCCCAGUUCCACAGCUCCAGCUGUCCGAGGGGUUCCGGAAUGCUCCCAGGGCAUCUGUGGCACCCUGAGUCCUGAGGGCUAACACCAGCACCUGCUCUGUCUCUAGCCCCUCCUGACAGCCAAGCUUCUCAGCCUCUUUUUCCUCCCUCCUCGGUCCCAGGCUGCUGCACCUAGGCCUGGCACUCUUACCAAACCCCAGGGACUGCCCAGGGCCAUCACACUCCUUUUGGGAACUCCUUCUCCUGGACAGGAUUGCCCUGUCCAGUCUGUUAGGGUCGCCCAGACUUCUGGGCUGGCUCCUUCUGCCCCUCCCCCACUUCUGCGCUGGGGCCUUUACAAAAAUGUCCCCCACCCAGUCCACACCACAUAGGCCCAGGACUUCCUCCUCUCAAAUCACCUACCCCCAGUCCUGUGCUGGAGUUCAGCUCCAGCAGGUCCAGGGGUUCCAGAAGGAUGAACAGCAUUGGGGAAAAUAACAAAUGGACACAGACAACAACAGUGUGUUAGACUGGCCGCUUUAUUGUGGCAAAUGUGGCAUUAUAUUUGUUAGCAGUUUCCUUGUAGCAUGCGUCAUCUACAUCUAUGUUUCUCGGCAUUACCUAAUUCUAAAAACGUUCCUUUGUGUAAUCACCCAUUAAGGAACAAUAUAGUUAUUUUCUUGUAACGUU